Molecule: unclassified non-coding RNA, 74 nt
Filed under: Moheibacter sediminis
Lineage: Bacteria; Pseudomonadati; Bacteroidota; Flavobacteriia; Flavobacteriales; Weeksellaceae
Description: Flavo-1 RNA
Source: RNAcentral
UUGCGUCAGGGAUAGUAACGGAAACCCCACAGUGAGGUACGAGCGAGGAGUUGAAGUGGAUAGCCCGCCCGGAC